Molecule: long non-coding RNA, 2322 nt
Organism: Leopardus geoffroyi (Geoffroy's cat)
Lineage: Eukaryota; Metazoa; Chordata; Mammalia; Carnivora; Felidae
Exons: 4
Source: RefSeq, a predicted model, not a curated record
UCUGAACCCAAGUUAGGCGCUUUCGCGGAGGACAUUCUGCCGGCUCAGGCACACCUCCCCACUACCGCCACCUGGCGUGCGGUUUACAGGUGCAGCCACACCACCAAGUGGUCGUCUAGACGGGUUUACUUGGCCUCCUGUGCUCCCAUUUUCUGAUCCGCAGCACACGGAUAAUGGCACACAAGCUCGCGGCGCGCGUAACAACCGCAGAACGCAGGUGGGGCGCUUAGCACAGGGCCUUGGCACAGUCACGGGAAGCAGUUAGAGGCGGAUCCGACGCAGAGCUCCGCGUUAGCGUUUCCCCCCCGCCCCGCCAAGGGUGGGGGCGGCGGCCGGGGCUCUGCGCGCUGCCCGGCGCUGUCCGAGGUGCUGGACGCCGGCGGGGCGCGCUCCACGCCGCCGGCUCUGUGCGCAGCUCCCAGAAGGCCCUGCGCGGUAAGUGCGUCUCCAUCCCUGCUCUGAAAUGCCCACCUUCAAACUCUUUACAAUUUCUGGAGCAUUCUCGGGAUCACAACCUCUCACCACCCUGUCGAUCCUCAGAGGUUUCUGCAAAUAUGUAAGCUUUGCUCCCCCUUCAGUGUCUGCAGAAAUCCAGACGCCUAUCACCCAGCCCCGCUCCGCAACCAUCCAUCUCCUACAAAAAUCCAGGCCCCUGCGCACCUCACCCCCACGCGUCAAUGCAAAAAUGAAAAAUGUAAACCCGUGUUCCACACCCUUCUCCCACAGUUUCCUGUGAUAAAACCAGACUUCCCCCCUCCAGCCUCCCACUCCUGCCUGCGGCUCAACAGCGUGGGCUGACUUUUGGGGAGCGCAAGAUCCCUCUCACACAGUGAGCCACCGGAGACCCCUGCGGGUGCGCUUACCUGCUGGGGGUGCUCACCAAACGAGGCCACCUGAGUGCAGGCCACCGGUAGUGUCAUUGCUCCAGAAGCAAAGUCAGGGGCCCUCGGCUUGGCUUCGGGCCGCUUACCGAAGGGCGCUGCCGGGCUGACCCGCGCGGGCGCUGGGUUCACGCCGGGCCUCGCGGGUCCUGUAGAAUGACUUGCCCGGAACUUCAAGGUUCGUCAGUAAAGCCUCUGCGUCACCCCUCGCUUCUCCCAGUUCAAGCCAGAACACGGCAGUUUCUCUAGAGAAAGAAGGAGGCGUGGAAGACGACGGUCUCGCCCAGCUCUGGUUUGCAGGUCUCCUGCGCAGCCCGGCCCCGCGCGCCGUCCCGGGGCCCCGCCGGCUGGCUGGCGAGCGCUGCCGCCCGCCCGCGCCCCGAGCGCGGCCGUGUGGGCGUGUGCGCCGGGGAGGAGCGAGCACCGCGGGGGCGGCGGGGGCGGGCAGAGGCGCCCGCCGCCCCGCCCGCACCCCGACCGCGGCGGCCAGGCGCGCCUGACGGCUCCGCCCCAGCCGGGUGGGGGCCCCCCGGGCGUGGGCGCGGCGACCCCCGGGGCCGGUCGAGGGGCGCGCGCGCCGCAAGCCUGACGCCGCACGUGCCGGACCCCGGGAGGGACGUGAGCCUGGGUCUCCUCUGCUGUCCACGCUGCUCUGCCUUCCUCGGGCUUCCUUCGUCAAACGCCCUGGGAUCCAGGACUUCCGCCCACAGCGUGGGCGGGAGAAGAAGGGAAGAGGGGGGCUGUGGCGGUAAGACUCGGGGGGGUGGGGGGGUGGGCUCGAGGAUCUGUUUCCAUCCCAGCCCCGCCCUUCAGCGCACCUGCUCCAGCUGCCCAGGACUCGAAGCACGCGGCAUCGUAUCUGCAAGGUGAGCGCGCCCGCGCCCCGGCUUCGCGGAGGCCUGCCCCCCAUGUCUAGGUGAAAACAGGCACGCGUGGGGAAACAAUGAACGACUGUUCAACUGAAGGAAACAAUGCGUGCUUUUGGAUACAUGCAUGCGAAUACACCCGUGAAGUUCAUGACCUAUUACUACCCUCUACACCUGUACUUUGUACCGCAAGGCAGGACGGGAUUGGUGAAGCUGAGCCAACUCCGGAGUCAGACUGCAUGGACUGAAAUCCCAACCCAACCACUUGCCAGCCGUGGAUCUCUGAUGUGACGCUCUCCCGUGGCUUCUCUCUGUCGUAAACCACACUCCGGUGAAGGCCCUUUCGUCGGUCUUUUUCAAAUUUCAGAAUUAUUUCCUAAGAGCAAAAUACUUGAGGUUCCCGAGGGAAAGGUAUGCAAAACUUUACCAUUUGCAUACAGAGUGCAAAGGGCUGCUCCGUGAGGGCUGUACCACUUUUCAUUACCCCUUGAUCAUGGCUUAGUGCAUCCUCCACCUUAUGAGAUCUCAUUGUUGAAGAAACUUGCUAACGUGAUAAUUAAAAAUGUAUUAGGUCA